AGGGGCUGAUCCUCAAAUUAGUCUAUUAAAGUUACUGAUGACAGUCCUCAUCUCAGAGCCUCCGUUUUGGGGACCACAGCUUGCAACUUUGGAGGUCCUGCCAAGAUGACUCAACUCAUGAAAACCUACCAGAAUGAAGGGAGAACAGUCCUGAGUUGAGUAAUACCUCACUAAGAAUGAUAUUGAAAACUUGGAGAGGGAGUUUGGAGCCAGAGUGUUGGAUGUCUCCGUGGUUUGGGCAGUUACAGUGAAUGUCACCAUCCUCGUUCCUCCUGUACGUUCCUGGAAAAGUCAUUUGGUGCUGGAAAGAAGUCAUAGGACUGGAGGAGAGCGAGCCGUUAUAGAGGCAGCACUUACCCCGAACGGUGAGAGUGACCCCAUCGAGCUCCUUCCCCGGAAACUACGCUCAACACCUCAGCAACAAGCCGCCAGAGCUUUGGACCAGUCCUUACCAGUGGUGUGGAUGGGACACGACGCACGCAGGCUCAUCGCGGUGGCACAGAGCCAUGUGCCGUCAAGUUCAGAGCCAGCAUGGGGCAGAGUCGCCACAUGGAAAUGGCAAGGCCCCAGAGCUGGAGCCACCUACGGCCUGGGAUUGAGCCUCCACGGAGGGUUAUCAGCACUGGAGUCACGGGUAAGUCUAGUUAUCAUCUCCCUGAGGCUCAUUCAGGGGUCUUGAAUUCUGCCCUGAGUUUGAAAAACUAAUUAUUUUCUUCUCCUCCCUUUUCCUGUCGGGCAAAAGUGGGUGACUAUAGAGCCACUCAUUGACUGUUUCUGACAAGGGCCUGUCGCCGUAGCUGCACAACCCAACUAAAUCUAGAAUUGAAUUUGUAGAGUCUCAAUUUCCAGCGGAUUCUUCUUCCGAUGGAGCAUUUCCCCCUAUCUGCUACCAGUAAACACCACCCCCCCACCCCCCUCUCCAUCCCUUGUGGAACUGGCAUGUAAAAGAAUAACAACUAAGCUUUGUUUUUAUUUACGUUAACUCUUCUUUAUUUUCCUGAGUAUUCAUAAACCUGAUAAAUACUUGAAAUUGUCAAUAUUGAUUCAGAAUCUGAAUAGAGUAUAUGUUAUAUUUCAAUAUGUACUUUAAGAAUGUGUUAAUAUUUAAGAACCCAAACCUUCAGAUUAUACCUCAAUUUGGCAGAAGUAGUACUAUUCUGUCUCAAUAUUUGGAAUGAAUUUAACAUAACAUUUUUUUUCCCUCUCUACAGCCAGUUUUGGCAGCAAAGAAUUGAAUUUCAUAUCAAGACAUAGUACAAAAAUAGAGAAGGGGAUUUGUAAAUACUAAUUAUUCAAAUCCAAAUCCAUACAUUCCUAUUUUUCUUACUGAGCUUAAUACUGUCAACAUUCAGGCAAAUUGGUUCCUUUCUCAACAUUUUUUUUUUCAGGAGCAUAUUGUGUUAGAUUACAGGAAAAAUGAGAAAUCCAGUAACAAUAAGAAUAAACUACUGAAAUGAGACAAAAGUGGCUGUUUGAGGAGGAGAACCAUUUCAAUAGUUCAUACAUUUUCAACCAAAAAAAAAAAAAAGCAAAAACAAACCAUGCUGUUCCAUUUUUAGACCUUCAGCACUUUCUUUUCCAAGGCUGUAGAACCUUAGUAACAUACCAAUUUCUAGUUACUGGCCACUGAUCUAUGAUUCAAGAAACAAAAAUUAGGGUUGAAUGCAUGCUGAUUUUGACUUUGUGAGGAAGAGUCCAGAAUUUACCUACCCUGUGGCCUUUUGCAUUUUCUAAAGUAAACACAGAGAAAGUAAUGCUUGAGUAAAGAUAUUAUUCUUAAGUUUCAAAUCUUGGCACAGCCCACUGAGAAGACCUUGCUGUAAUUUACCCAAAUCAUACUGCACACUCCACCUAUAAGGUUGACUGUAGCCAUUUUCUCAGGUAAACAACAGAAAUGCACACCCCUGCUCAUGCCCUCUGUGUUGCAAAAUCACUCUUAUUAAAUAUUGAGCGGAUGUGGAAGAAUGUUUAUAAAAUAUGUAUAAGGUCGAACAGUAAUACAAGGAAUACCCAUGUAGCCCCUUCAACCAGUUUCAGAACAAGGGUGAUUGAUAUCUAUGAGACCCUCUGUGACAAACGUCGUGAUCUCAACUCCAUCGCCUCCCUCUUCGAAGGCAACUUCUUCAUUUUUCUUUAGUUUUUUAAAAUUUUAAUGUUUAUUUAUCGUAGAAAGAGAGA
This is a long non-coding RNA of Leopardus geoffroyi (Geoffroy's cat), 2178 nucleotides long. RefSeq lists it as uncharacterized. The record is from RefSeq and is a predicted model, not a curated record. NCBI's taxonomy places the organism in Eukaryota, Metazoa, Chordata, Mammalia, Carnivora, Felidae. The transcript has 4 exons.